AGGACGAACGCUGGCGGCGUGCUUAACACAUGCAAGUCGAACGGAAAGGCCCUUCGGGGUACUCGAGUGGCGAACGGGUGAGUAACACGUGGGUGAUCUGCCCUGCACUUUGGGAUAAGCCUGGGAAACUGGGUCUAAUACCGAAUACACCUUGCCGGCUGCAUGGUUGGUGGGGGAAAGCUUUUGCGGUGUGGGAUGGGCCCGCGGCCUAUCAGCUUGUUGGUGGGGUGAUGGCCUACCAAGGCGACGACGGGUA
Molecule: ribosomal RNA, 256 nt
Filed under: uncultured bacterium
Lineage: Bacteria
Description: partial small subunit ribosomal RNA
Rfam family: Bacterial small subunit ribosomal RNA
Source: RNAcentral